Molecule: long non-coding RNA, 868 nt
Organism: Macadamia integrifolia
Lineage: Eukaryota; Viridiplantae; Streptophyta; Magnoliopsida; Proteales; Proteaceae
Exons: 5
Source: RefSeq, a predicted model, not a curated record
UAGGGUAGGUAGAUACAGGAAUCGGUGUCAGUCGCUUCCGAUACAAAUCGGCCGAUUUGCCUAUAAGGUCUCUCUCUCCUUCCUUGAUUAAUUCUUAUUCAUUUGAUGGAGAAAAGAUUGACGCUUCUUCAAACCGUUGCUGCAGCGGGAGUGUUCUCUGCUGUUUCGUUCUGGUACGGAUUCAUGUUCGGAAGGGAAUCCGCUCGGAAAGAGCUCGGCAAUCUGAUUGAAGACCUCCGUCGUGGACAUCCCGAAACUGACACGCCUCAAGUUUCUUGAAUGUCCCUACCAUUGGAGCAGGCACUUGCAGAAAACAGAAAUCGCAGUGCUUCUACCUUCAGGGGAUUCUUGGCGACAUUCUAUAACUUUCAGCUAUGUCUAGAGGCAUAAGAAUUAGUGAGGAGCUCUACCUGGGCAUCACUAGUUGCAUGUAUGAGGUGCCUCCUUUCUUGUUUUUUGGGGGAGUAUUGAUCCCUAGGAGCAGCUUAGCCUAAGAAGCAGGUGCUUGAUUGAAGAUUCAUGCAAACUGCUUGAGGUGGGCAUUGAACACGUGGGAGAUCUGAAAAGGCUUGUAUUAAGUUUUAUUUUGCUAUAAUAAUUUGGGAUCGGGAUAUGGUUCUUGAGCAAGCGGCAUAGAGGAGCACAUCCAUGUGGUGAGGCAAAAUUGUAAGGAUGUUGGAGGACAACAAAGGUCAUUUCAUGUGAAAAGGAAAUAGAUAGAUACAUAGGUGCUUAAUGUACUUUCUCUAGUGACUCAGAGAAUCUUUUUGCUUUAUCAAAUUUUUGCGGUUCAAUCGAACUCAGUUGCUCUCCAUAUAUUUGUAUUUUUCCUCCUGAAAUAUUGACCAUUCAGCACGUUUUCAAUGUU